RNAcentral lists this transfer RNA (70 nucleotides) under Poecilocoris nepalensis. RNAcentral describes it as "tRNA-Asn". Lineage: Eukaryota; Metazoa; Arthropoda; Insecta; Hemiptera; Scutelleridae. The record is from RNAcentral.
UUAGAUUGAAGCCAAAAUUAGAGGCAUUUCAUUGUUAAUGGAAUAAUUGAUUAAUAAUAAUCCAACUAAA